RNAcentral lists this non-coding RNA (723 nucleotides) under Plasmodium falciparum FCH/4. RNAcentral's name for it is "Eukaryotic large subunit ribosomal RNA". It matches the Rfam family "Eukaryotic large subunit ribosomal RNA", at positions 2800 to 3399 of the family's 3401-position model. Lineage: Eukaryota; Apicomplexa; Aconoidasida; Haemosporida; Plasmodiidae. The record is from Rfam by way of RNAcentral.
AAUAUUUUUGGAUAAUAACAACAGGGAUGUAUUAGUUAUAUACUUGUGGCUGCCGAGCGAUAUUUUUAGCAACGUAGCUUUUUGAUAUGAGAAUGUUGGCUCUUCCUAUCAUUGAGAAGAAGAAAUCUCAAAGUGUCGGAUUGUUCAACCGUUAAAAGGGAACGAGAGCUGUAAAAAAAAAUUUUUUCUUUUUUUUUUAAUAACCAUCACGAGAUAGGUUAGUUUUUUACUCUACUGAAGAAUUAUAAUUAUAUUUAUAUAUUAUAUUGUUCCAGUAAUCCAACUAAGUACGAAAGGAAUAGUUUGGUCAGACAGUUAAUUUAGCUUUCGGUUGAAAAACCAAUAUAGCAACUAUUUUAUGUCUGUUGUGAUAAUAGCUGAAAGCAUCUUAAGCUAGAAUCCAUUCUGUAUAUACAAUAUAUGAUUAUUUUUCUUUGUCUUGGUAAUUUUUUUUUUACUGUUAAUGUAAAAAGAGAACACAUAUUAUAUUACAAAAGCAUUUUUAUAAAUGUAUUUAGAAAUAUAAAUAAUCCACUUUAUAUUUAAAUAUGUACAUUAUAUAUAUAUAUAUGUGUACAUAUUUAUAAUAUUUAUUAAUUUAGCAACAAAGAAAACGAGAGAAAAAUUGUAGACGACUUUUUUGCCUCGGAGUGCUGUAACCAUGAUAGUAAACCAUUUUAAGUUUUACGAUCUGCUGAGGCUUAUCUCCUGUGGUCAAAUUCU